AUGGAGGAGUGCCACCGGUUGGGCCUGGCGAGGUCCGUCGGGGUGAGCAACUUCUCGGCGGCCAAGAUGGAGAGGCUGCUGGCUCUCGCCGCCGUGCCGCCGGCGGUCAACCAGGUGGAGAUGAACGUCGGGUGGAGACAGGAGAAGGUGCGGGAGGUGUGCGCCCGGCACGGCGUUGUUGUCUCCGCCUACUCGCCGCUCGGCGCGUACGGCGCCUUCUGGGGCUCCGACGCCGUCAUGGAGAGCGGCGUCUUGCACGACGUCGCCGCCGCCAGAGGCAAGACCGUCGCGCAGGUGGCGUUGAGGUGGCUAUACGAGCAGAGCGUGUGCUUUGUGGCGAGGAGCUACAAUGGUAAGAGGUUGAAGCAGAACAUGGAGAUCUUCGACUGGGAGUUGGGCGAGAAGGAGAAGGGGAUGAUUGACACGAUACCGCAGAGGAGGGCGUCUUUGGGUGAGCGUUUCAUGUCGCCCGACGGGCCUUACAAAACACCCGAGGAGCUCUGGGACAGCGAUAUAUGA
Molecule: ribosomal RNA, 519 nt
Filed under: Triticum aestivum (bread wheat)
Lineage: Eukaryota; Viridiplantae; Streptophyta; Magnoliopsida; Poales; Poaceae
Description: partial small subunit ribosomal RNA
Source: RNAcentral